Molecule: ribosomal RNA, 431 nt
Filed under: uncultured prokaryote
Description: partial 16S ribosomal RNA
Source: RNAcentral
CCCUACGGGGUGCAGGCUUUGGAGAAGUAUGAAGGGAUUCGGACCGAGUCAAAGCUGAAGUUGGAUCAACAGCUUGCCGAUAUCAAGAAGCUCCACGAUGACGAACUGGCCGACCUGGAUCGGUACCGCAACGAGACCAAGGCCAAGUUGGACCAAAUCCAGAAGGAUUAUGUAACCGUCUGGGACAAGAUCAAAGGGGCCGCCUUGGAUGCCUUCGAGGCUAUGGGCACGGCUAUUACCCGUUUGGUUACCGAAUACCUGAUGGGUAAGUUGAACAAGGCCCUGAUUGACCUCAUUGAUGACCUCUUGCCUUCUUUGUCAAAGGUCCUGGGUUCUGUGCUGGAUGGAUUGGGCUCGGUGUUUGGUAAGUUGGGGAAGGUUCUGGGUGGGAUUUUUGGUUUAGGUGAAGGAGGAGGAAUUGGCGGGAGAGC